RNAcentral lists this ribosomal RNA (505 nucleotides) under uncultured bacterium. RNAcentral's name for it is "partial 16S ribosomal RNA". It matches the Rfam family "Bacterial small subunit ribosomal RNA", at positions 28 to 507 of the family's 1533-position model. The record is from RNAcentral.
GACGAACGCUGGCGGCGUGCCUAAUACAUGCAAGUAGAACGCACAGUUUAUACCGUAGCUUGCUACACCAUAGACUGUGAGUUGCGAACGGGUGAGUAACGCGUAGGUAACCUGCCUGGUAGCGGGGGAUAACUAUUGGAAACGAUAGCUAAUACCGCAUAAUAUUGAUUAUUGCAUGAUAAUUAAUUGAAAGGUGCAAUUGCACCACUACCAGAUGGACCUGCGUUGUAUUAGCUAGUAGGUGAGGUAACGGCUCACCUAGGCGACGAUACAUAGCCGACCUGAGAGGGUGAUCGGCCACACUGGGACUGAGACACGGCCCAGACUCCUACGGGAGGCAGCAGUAGGGAAUCUUCGGCAAUAGACGAAAGUCUGACCGAGCAACGCCGGGUGAGUGAAGAAGGGUUUCGGAUCGUAAAGCUCUGUUGUAAGAGAAGAACGGGUGUGAGAGUGGAAAGUUCACACUGUGACGGUAUCUUACCAGAAAGGGACGGCUAACUACGUG